This 274-nucleotide ribosomal RNA is filed under the name uncultured bacterium. RNAcentral's name for it is "partial 16S ribosomal RNA". It matches the Rfam family "Bacterial small subunit ribosomal RNA", at positions 523 to 796 of the family's 1533-position model. The record is from RNAcentral.
AUACGGAGGGUGCAAGCGUUACUCGGAAUCACUGGGCGUAAAGCGCGCGUAGGCGGUCCGUUAAGUUAGAUGUGAAAGCCCCGGGCUUAACCUGGGAACUGCAUUUAAAACUGGCGGACUAGAGUUGAGUAGAGGGGAGUGGAAUUUCAGGUGUAGCGGUGAAAUGCGUAGAGAUCUGACGGAACACCAGUGGCGAAGGCGACUCCCUGGACUCGAACUGACGCUGAGGUACGAAAGCGUGGGUAGCAAACGGGAUUAGAAACCCCAGUAGUCC